This 89-nucleotide transfer RNA is filed under the name Abutilon theophrasti (China jute). RNAcentral's name for it is "tRNA-Leu". It matches the Rfam family "tRNA". Rfam says of the family: Transfer RNA (tRNA) molecules are approximately 80 nucleotides in length. Their secondary structure includes four short double-helical elements and three loops (D, anti-codon, and T loops). RNAcentral also lists the same sequence under 17 other names. Lineage: Eukaryota; Viridiplantae; Streptophyta; Magnoliopsida; Malvales; Malvaceae. The record is from RNAcentral.
GGGGAUAUGGCGAAAUUGGUAGACGCUACGGACUUAAGGAAAAUCCGUCGACUUUAAAAAUCGUGAGGGUUCAAGUCCCUCUAUCCCCA